This 18-nucleotide ribosomal RNA is filed under the name Allium agrigentinum. Its description in RNAcentral is "partial small subunit ribosomal RNA". The record is from RNAcentral. Lineage: Eukaryota; Viridiplantae; Streptophyta; Magnoliopsida; Asparagales; Amaryllidaceae. RNAcentral also lists the same sequence under 2 other names.
GACUGCGGAGGAUCAUUG